CCUACGGGUGGCAGCAGUGGGGAAUAUUGGACAAUGGGCGAAAGCCUGAUCCAGCCAUGCCGCGUGUGUGAAGAAGGCCUUCGGGUUGUAAAGCACUUUCAGUGGGGAAGAAAGCCUUGGGGCUAAUACCCUCGAGGAAGGACAUCACCCACAGAAGAAGCACCGGCUAACUCCGUGCCAGCAGCCGCGGUAAUACGGAGGGUGCGAGCGUUAAUCGGAAUUACUGGGCGUAAAGCGCGCGUAGGCGGUCUGAUAAGCCGGUUGUGAAAGCCCCGGGCUCAACCUGGGAACGGCAUCCGGAACUGUCAGGCUAGAGUGCAGGAGAGGAAGGUAGAAUUCCCGGUGUAGCGGUGAAAUGCGUAGAGAUCGGGAGGAAUACCAGUGGCGAAGGCGGCCUUCUGGACUGACACUGACGCUGGGGUGCGAAAGCGUGGGUAGCAAACAGGAUUAGAUACCCUUGUAG
RNAcentral lists this ribosomal RNA (463 nucleotides) under Vreelandella stevensii. RNAcentral describes it as "partial 16S ribosomal RNA". It matches the Rfam family "Bacterial small subunit ribosomal RNA", at positions 338 to 793 of the family's 1533-position model. Lineage: Bacteria; Pseudomonadati; Pseudomonadota; Gammaproteobacteria; Oceanospirillales; Halomonadaceae. The record is from RNAcentral.